CAGCAGCAGGAGCAGCAGGGACAGGAAUCCGAGAGCAGCAUGGAGGUGCAGCCGGAGCUGCUGGUGGCCGAGCCCGUCCCGCCGCGCGCCGACUCGCCGCACGAGCUGAACAGCACCGGCGGCGACUUCACGCCCCUCUUCCACGAGUCUUCCACGCCGGAGCAGGCGGCCGGCGCCGAGCCGCCGGUCUCGGACCCGGCGCGGCUCGUCGACAACUACAGCUACCUGACGUCGC
Pollicipes pollicipes is the source of this 235-nucleotide long non-coding RNA. RefSeq lists it as uncharacterized. NCBI's taxonomy places the organism in Eukaryota, Metazoa, Arthropoda, Thecostraca, Pollicipedomorpha, Pollicipedidae. The record is from RefSeq and is a predicted model, not a curated record. The transcript has 3 exons.